CCCGCCACUGCAUUCUCGCGACUAAUGAAAAAAAUAGCAGGGUUAUCUCUUUCAUUAGCCGCGCGAACCUCUGCAAUGCAAGAUCGCUGACGAUAUUUCAACGGCUUACUACAUUAACCUCAUUUGCCGUUGCUUCCUAGAAGAAAGGGGCCAGAUUUGGCCCCUUUAC
RNAcentral lists this small RNA (169 nucleotides) under Enterobacillus tribolii. RNAcentral describes it as "SraG RNA". It matches the Rfam family "SraG RNA". From Rfam's summary of the family: This RNA was discovered in E. coli during a large scale screen. Evidence was found for specific cleavage of this RNA. Lineage: Bacteria; Pseudomonadati; Pseudomonadota; Gammaproteobacteria; Enterobacterales; Hafniaceae. The record is from Rfam by way of RNAcentral.